AUGUCUCCCCAGCUCUCCUCUCUCGCUGCAUCCUUGGGCAUUUGCGUAGUCUCAGCUCUCGCCAUAGCCCUUCUGGUGAUCACCCUCUACAUCCUAGGCACAGCCGUUUUCUGCAUCAGAGAGUUCACCCAGAGAGCUCAUGACUGGCCACCGCUUAUCGGUACCGUGUUCCGGCAGCUCAACAACUUUGACAAGAUCUUCGUUGAGCAUGUGAACGCCGACCCUGCCGUCGUCGAGCAUGUCCUCAAGACAAACUUCGGUAAAUACAGCAGGGGGGCCUUCAACACAGAAAUCGUGAAGGAUCUCUUUGGAAAUGGGAUUUUUGUGACAGACGGGGACAAGUGGCGGCACCAGAGGAAGCUAGCAAGCCACGAGUUCUCAACCAAAGUGCUACGUGACUACAGCAGUGACGUUUUCAGAAUGAAUGCUGUAAAACUGGCAGAGAAGACCUCAUCUGCAGCAGCUAACAGAAUUACCAUAAACAUGCAGUAA
This 492-nucleotide ribosomal RNA is filed under the name Triticum aestivum (bread wheat). RNAcentral describes it as "partial small subunit ribosomal RNA". The record is from RNAcentral. Lineage: Eukaryota; Viridiplantae; Streptophyta; Magnoliopsida; Poales; Poaceae.